Molecule: long non-coding RNA, 5912 nt
Filed under: Canis lupus familiaris (dog)
Lineage: Eukaryota; Metazoa; Chordata; Mammalia; Carnivora; Canidae
Description: lncRNA (ENSCAFG00000050911.1)
Source: RNAcentral
AGCGGCAAAGUGUCUUCUAGGACCUCCUGGUUCUCCUUCCCGGUGAAGCAUGUGCCCGAUGCCUGCUCACAGAAGCUGCCCUCCUGGCCCGGGAGUCACCACUGAGACCUCCGCAGGGGAAGCUGAUGCACAAAGCCACGUCUGCCACGUUGAUUAAGGAAACCCACUCAAAGCAGAGAGAGCGGGAGAGUGAGCCCUGUUGUCCAUUGGCCUCGACGUAUGCCAGCCCACUGUGGCUGGCUUCGUCUACACCCCACCCACUUCCUCACUGGGUUAUUUUAAGCCAGUCCCAGACAUCGUAUUGUUUUAUCCCUAAUAUUUCAGAAAGUAUUUAUGAAAGAUAAGAGCUGAGCACAACUCCCAUGCACCACAAUUCCAUAUUUGCACUUAAAAUAAUUGCCGGUGACCCCUUGGGGUCACCAGACGUCAGAGCUCACGCUUCCCUGCUGGCUCUGCAACAUUUCUAAGUAGUUGUGUUUUCCAGUGAGGACCUCCAAGGCUGUUUUAAUCUUUCCGUCUCCUCCCCUCCCUUCCUUUAUGAUUUAUUUGUCUUUCCUCCCAAGGCUUCCCGGGAGGGUGGUGCCGCUGCUGCUGUUGUGUGCAGGUAGGGCCUAGCCAGGCACACGGCUCCCGUAGGCUCUGCACUCCCACCAGGACCCGGCCCGCUGGCCACCCCGGGUCCAUUAUUAGCUGUAUCCCCUCUGAAGAGAGAUGCCCCUUUGUCAACUGUCUAGCCACCCUGAGAGCAGUCUGCCUGGGAAAGGCAGGAAAAUGCUUUCUUCUUUCCCUUGAUUUGCCAGCUCUCAGAAAAGCAAGUUAGUUUUUUAGCUUCUGCAAAGGUGACUUACGCUGUUAUCCUUAGGCUCAGUGUGAACUCCUGGACUCUGCUGCGUAUGAUGUGCUUCAGCCCAUUGUGGAGGCUGGGACAGCCGAGGCUAUCCUGUGACGUCUGCUUGCAAGUAUCCAGCACGCACCUCUCUGUCCCUCGAUGGCCCGGCCUGCCUCCCUCCACAUUUGUAUCUUGUGCUGUUGCUUGAUGGGCAACUUUCAAGGUUUAGCAGUUUUCCCUGGUUGGGAUUUUACAGGAGAAAUGGAAUUAGCAGGGUUCCCUCAGAAGAAAACAGGGUUCCUCCUUCUGCCUCAGUUCUGUUUCUCAAACAUUUGACUCCAAGGGCAGAACAAAGAAACUUCUCUUGCCCACUGCCCCACCAUGGCUUCUUCUCACAGGGAGAUGUCCUCGUUUUGCAACUCAACACACUUGUGUCAAAGCAGAGGGACCAGGGACAGAGGCUGGGAGAUGAGGGAGCGGCCGCAGGGGUGCCUGUGCUUGGCCCCUCCUUCUUGCAAAGUCUGGGUGUGGUUCCUAACAGUCGGGGCCGCCCCUUCUCACACACACCUGCUGUGGCUGCAGCCAGGAACCCUGGUGCCCUGGGUGGGCACCCGGCCCCAUCCACACCGGUCACAGGUGCUCUGCCUGAGAAGAAAGCCGGGCAGGGCCCUGGGGGCAGGCAUGAAGCUGCAGGCAGGGAACCUGGGGUACCGAGACCUAGAGCGCUGUCUGGAGGGUCGGAGGUGGAGUGUUCUCCACUCAGGAAUCUGUCAGCUUCACAACAACACUCAGGAUCUGCCACUCAUUGCAGCUGGCGGAAGCCUGCCAACUUCCUCUUCCUCUGCUGUCACAGACCAUCGCCCUUCGCCCUGGGCAAGAGGCCCUCUGAGCAUAGCUCCCGAGGCAGAGGAAGGCCAAGUCUGCAGCUGGGCAGGGCCCAGGAGAACUUCCAGCCGCCAGCCAUGGCCCCUCCCUGUGACCCCCCUCCCCUGGGCCACAGUGGACUGGGCACUGCCCUCGCCCCCCAGGGAUCCAUGUGCAGGGCAGAGGGCAGGGGGCCCUGGCUCAGUGGCAGGGUGCAGGCCAUCGAGUCUGGAGACAUUGCUGCAGCCUUCUGGGGCUGAAGGGUUCUCUCUGGGCCUCACUGCACAGAGGGCUUCUUCCCAAGCGCCGUGUGCUCCUGAUUUGGGCCCAUCCCCACUCGCCUGCUCCGGGCCCACACGGUGAACCUGGACCUGAGUCCACAACUAGUGUCCUGUCCCCUCAGGUGGUAUCUGCCUGUGACCCGCGUUCUGGGUGCCGGGGCCUCACCUGGGUGGCUCAUGUCUCUGGCUUUGGCUCGGCACAUAUGUGACACCCAGUUAAGUUCUCAUGAAUGAAAAAUUAACACAAAUUUGUCAUUCCACGGUUCUGGAGGGCAGAGGUCUACAAGAAGAGUGUCAGGGGCUGCUUCCUUCUGCGGGUUCUGGGGAGACCACCUUCCCUGACUAUGCCAGCUUGGGUGGACCUGCACCCACGGCCCCUUCCUUAGCCUCACGCCAGCAGCCUCCCUCCUGCCCUCAUAAGGACUGGCCUAAAAUCCUCAAGUCGGCAAGGUAACCCCAGUUCUGGGGAUUCAGGCUGAUGUCUCGAGGGCAUGACUGAUGUCCACAUGAGCCACAUAAAAACCACUGUGUAUAUUCCCACCCUGCACCUUGCCUCCCAGACGGGUCUGUGGGUUGGUGCAUGUGUCAAAAUAGGGUUUGGGUGAACCGUGAAAUGUCAGCCAUAGAACGAAUAAGACAGUAAAACUGACGUGUGUGUGCAAGAACCCAGACAUCCUGAGUGCUGGGUUCCUCCUGUCCACAUCCAUCUGCUGGGUGUGGCGCCAACCAGGGGCAGCCCUGGCUUGGAUUCUGAAGUUCUGAGAGGGCCUCUGCUGGGCCUCCAGCCUUGGGUGGGGACAGAGGCAGGAUUCUGGGGCCCAGGGUCAGAAGUAGGGCUGCUGUUGCCUCUCCCUGACGGUGGGGAGACAGUUCUGGGGAAUUGUCAGCCUCAUCUCUGGACCACCAGCUCCUUUUGGAGCCCUGAAGCUGGAGUCAACGUGGAUUCCCCUCCCCUCUCCCUGCAGGGGAGGGUGCCCCUGGGGCUCCUUCCCUCUGAGACCCCUGCGAGCCCUCCCACCUGCCUCUACCCAGGACUGUCGCCUACCAAGCUGCAGCCUGAAUUCCCUCCCGGUUCUCUUGCUCAUUCACCCAUUCAGUGAUGACUUAUCAAGUUCACAUUAUCUUCCAGGAACCAAGGAAGAUGCUGGAGAUGAGGGUCAAAAGUUAAACAAAAUAUAUAAAUAUAGGGCCUUUCUCAUUGAGUUUACCUUUGUUCUCAUGGGGCAAAUAUAAUAUACAACUGGAAGGUAGGCUGCGUGCCAGAUGGACGAAGGACUUUGGAAUCUGCAUAUCCCAGUGGGUGCCAGCCUUCCUUCCCUCUUUCCUGAGGGUGAAGGGAAGCUCCUGGGGGAGGAGUGGCAGCCCUCAGAGCUGGCCAGGAGGGCAUUGCCAUGGGGAGGCCCCAGGACAGUGAGGGCCAGGUGGGGGCUGCACCAGCCUGGCCAAAUUUUUGGGGGGACAUGGCAGCAGCCAGGAGUUGGGGCUGGGGCAGGGUCUCUGGUGGUCUUGACAGGAUGUGGACCAGGCAGUGGUCUGGGAAGAGCUGAUCAGACUCAGAAAUGGUGAAGGGCUCAUUUUGGGUUAGACGCUUUUGAGAAGCCUGUGGCUUACUGUUUCAGUGGUAACAGGCCACCAGGCAAUGAGGCCUGCCAGUUCUGGGGGCAGGAGCCUGAGACCCCAGGGCCAUGCAGUCGGCUCUCAGGACGGUCCCCUUCCUCGCUGCCCUGAGGGUUUUGUCUCUCAAGGAGCCUUGGUCACCUGCUCACCCCCUGGAGGACGUCCUGGUUGCUUCCAAGCUCUGGCAAUGACGAGUAAAAUUGCUAUAAACACCCAUGUGCACAUUUUGUGCGGACACGUUUUCAACUCCUUUGGGUCGAUACCAAGGACCGUGAUUGCUGGAUCGGAUGCUACUCUUAGCAUUGCUUUCUUCUCAAGUUCUCGCAUUUAAAUCUUUGGUCCAUCUGAAAUGUAUUUUAUUACAUGGAAUGAAGAGUAAAGAGUAGGAAUAUGAUUUUUUCCAAUUGGAUAAUCUGUUGCCUUAACAUCAUUUUUUGCUAUGAUAUGUGUUUGGCCCCGUGAGAAGCCACCAGACGGUCUUCCAGGGUGGCUGCACCAUUCUGCUCUCCCUCUGCAGAGUGGGUGAGCUCCUGCUGCUCCUCGUGCUCGCCAGCACUGGGUGCUGUGGGUGUUCUGGAUCGUGGCCAUGCUGGUCUAUGGCAGCGGUGUCCUGCUGUCACGUUAAUCUGCAGUUCCCUGAUGGCAAUGCUGAGGAACACCUUGUCAUGUGCUUAUUUGCCAGUUGUGCACCUGCUUUGGGGAGGUGUCUGUCCAGGUCUUGUAGCCAUUUUUGUUUGGGCUGUUUGUUUUCUUAUUGUUGAGUUUUAAGAGUUCUUUGUAUAUUUUGGAUAUGGGUCUCUUGUCAGAUGUGUCUUUUGCAAAUACUUUCUCCCCGUCUAUGGUUUGUUUUUUCAUUCUCUUAACAGUGUCUUCAUCAGAACAGAAGUCUUUAAUUCCCUACAUUAAAUUCAGUGUCUAAUUCUUUUUUUUUUUUUCUUUUGUGGACGUUAGUUGCUCCAGAUCCAUUUGUUGAAGAGACUGUCCUUUCUCCUCUGUGAAAAAUCAGUGACUAUGUUUGUGUGGCUUCUGUUCCGUUCUACUCAUCUAUUCGUUUGUUCUUUCACCAAUACCAUACGGUCCUGACUACUGUUGCUUCAUCACAAGCCUUGAAGUCAGAUAGUAUCUGUUCUCUGACUUUGUUCUUCUCCGGUAUUUGUGUUGACUAUUCCGGGUCUUGCCAUAUAAACUUUUAAAGCAGCUUGCUGGGAUUUUGAUGGGUAUUGUGUUGAAUCUAUAGACCAAGUUAGAAGGAACCGGCAUCUUCACAAUAUUGAGUCUUCCAGCCCAUGAACACGGAGUAUCUCUCUAUUUAUCUGGAUAUUUUAUUAUUUCUUUCAUCAUAGCUUUUUAGUUUUCCUCAAAUAGAUGUAAUACGUCUAUAUAUUCUGUUAGGUUGUGCCUAAGGAUGGAGCACUCAGAGAUGCUGUGGGUCUGGCUCCAGAUCACCAAUAAAGCAAAUACCUUAGUAAAAUGAGUCAAAUGAGUUUUUUGGUUUCCCAGCGCAUGUAGUUAUGUUUAACUAGUGUAUUAUGUGUGCAAUAGAAUUAUGUCUUAAAAAGCAAUGUACAUACCUUAAAUGAACAGUACUCUAUUGCUAAAGAAGUCUAACCAUCAUCUUAACUCUCAGUGAGUCAUAACCAAUGAUCACUGUAACAAAUAAAAUAAUAAUGAAAAAGUUUGAAAUAUGGCAAGAAUUACCAAAAUGUGACAAAGAGACACAAAGUAAGCAAAUGCUGUUGGAAAAAUGGCCCCAACUGACCUGCUCAUUUCAGGAUUGUCACUAACAAUUUCAAUUUGUAUGAAACGCAGUAUCUACAAAGCUCAAUAAAACAAGUAUGUCUAUAUGUCUCUCUCUCUCUUUUUCUCCUGUGUGUGUGCUAAUGUAAAUGAUGUGUUUUUAUUUUCAAAUUUCAGUUAUUCGUUGCUGGUAUGUAGAAAAACAAUGGACAUUGUUCGUUGUUUCCUGCAACCGUGCUGUCCACGACUUGUAGUGGACAAGUUCCAGGACUUGUAGCCACUGUUAGUGGUUUGGGACUUUCUACCUGGCCAAUCAUGUCAUCUGCAAAUAAAGAUAGUCUUAUUUCUUCCUUUCCAAUUUGUAUAAUUUUUACUUACUUUCCUUGUCUUAUUUGCAUCAUUUAGGACCUCUAGUACAACAUUAACUAGGAGUGGUAAUGGGGACAUCCUUGCCUUGCUCCUGACCGUAGGAGAGAAGCUAGUUUCCCACCAUGAGGUAUGAUGUUAGCUAAAGGUUUUUUUGUAGAUGCUCUUUAUCAAGUUGAAAAGUUCUCUCCUUAAAAAAUCAAAAAAAAAAAAAAAAA